AGAGUUUGAUCCUGGCUCAGAUUGAACGCUGGCGGCAUGCCUUACACAUGCAAGUCGAACGGCAGCACGGGAGCAAUCCUGGUGGCGAGUGGCGAACGGGUGAGUAAUAUAUCGGAACGUGCCCAGUCGUGGGGGAUAACGCAGCGAAAGCUGUGCUAAUACCGCAUACGAUCUCUGGAUGAAAGCGGGGGACUCGCAAGAGCCUCGCGCGAUUGGAGCGGCCGAUAUCAGAUUAGCUAGUUGGUGGGGUAAAGGCCCACCAAGGCGACGAUCUGUAGCUGGUCUGAGAGGACGACCAGCCACACUGGAACUGAGACACGGUCCAGACUCCUACGGGAGGCAGCAGUGGGGAAUUUUGGACAAUAGGCGCAAGCCUGAUCCAGCAAUGCCGCGUGCAGGAUGAAGGCCUUCGGGUUGUAAACUGCUUUUGUACGGAACGAAAAGGUCUGCCUUAAUACGGUGGGCACAUGACGGUACCGUAAGAAUAAGCACCGGCUAACUACGUGCCAGCAGCCGCGGUAAUACGUAGGGUGCGAGCGUUAAUCGGAAUUACUGGGCGUAAAGCGUGCGCAGGCGGUUAUAUAAGACAGAUGUGAAAUCCCCGGGCUCAACCUAGGACCUGCAUUUGUGACUGUAUAGCUAGAGUACGGU
RNAcentral lists this ribosomal RNA (651 nucleotides) under uncultured bacterium. Its description in RNAcentral is "bacterial SSU rRNA". It matches the Rfam family "Bacterial small subunit ribosomal RNA", at positions 8 to 652 of the family's 1533-position model. The record is from RNAcentral.